GAAAAAAAAUCGGAACUGUUCUUCGAAGAUUUAUUAAAGAACCUUAAAAGCUUGAAUGGAAAACAGUACAGGAAUGACUGGAAACGGACUUCCAACAAGAUGAAGUAAUCAGAAAGAUCAACAGGCCAUAAAGAAGACAACACUGAGUAAGGCAAAGACGAGGUAUUUUUAACUGGGAAGUUUACAAUAUAAUAUUACAAUAUAAGAUAUAGUAUGGCAAGCUACACGAGUCGAAGAUGCAUAUCUCUUAAUAAUGUGCCUGACAUGUCCAAUAGAAAGCGGUACCUGCAGAAUUUACUGCAUAAAUUGACAGAUAUACCUCUUGAGAAACGGGAAAGCAUACUGUCUUUAUCGGCUAUUUAACAGCGCCGUCUAGACUUGAAAGUUAUAUCUUAAAACCUAAUACAGAGCGUAUUUUUGAUGCGCGUUUCCCGAACCGAUUCAAAAGCGCGUUCAAAGCGCAUCUGUAUCGCGUUUUAAUCGAUUCCAACCCACGCAAAUAUGUACUUCGAAGAGAAAAAACGACGGCGGAAAGACGCGCGUUUACGCGCAGUCGUUUGUAUCGCCGUAUAACACAUACACGCACAGCAUAUUUAUGCGCGCGCAAGUUUACGGCGCCAUUGAAUCUCGUUUGAAUUGCAUCGUAAUUUAGCGUAAUGCAUAAAAUGUUUUAAAUAAGUAAAGAAAAUUAACAGUAUAGUCUGAUCGAGGAACAUAUUGUCUGAUAGAAUGCCUUGAAGAGGGGAAGGAAUGCUUGUACUCCGCUAGACAAUACAUUGGUACACAAUUAAAAUGAAAAACCGCCAGCAGAAAUGCCGGUGGAGGGUUAGAGCACGCCAUCUAAAGCCAAGAAUAUCACAAACAAAUUACCUCUUGUCGAUUCACAAAUAAUUGAAACGAAGAUUGGUUUUCCAUUGUAGUUCCAAUCCUAAAUAGUUUGAUUUUCAUAAGCCGCAAUGGCAGCGCUGUCGAAACUUUUAGAUUAAAAAGUAAUGUAUUAUGAAUAAAGGCCGCUUUCAUUUCCCAAAUUCUAAGCUAUUCAAAUUAUUCUAUUUAUUGUAAGUAGUAUUUUUCUGACGCGCUCAAAUAUGGAAUUUUUAGCUGUAUUUUAUACUGAUUUUUUGCGAGCUUUGUCGGUCAAUUUUAUUCUCUGAUUGAAUGAAACUUGUGAAUAAUAAUAUUUAGUAGCAGAAGAGUUCCUUGUGAAAAAAUCGUCCAUAGAAGUACGACGACUAAGUAACGUAAAUAGCCAC
Molecule: long non-coding RNA, 1253 nt
Organism: Hyposmocoma kahamanoa
Lineage: Eukaryota; Metazoa; Arthropoda; Insecta; Lepidoptera; Cosmopterigidae
Exons: 4
Source: RefSeq, a predicted model, not a curated record